UAUGCAUUAAGUAGCAUGGAUGGAUCCUAAAAACUUGAUCUGAGUGGAAAAGCACAAAUAAUAAUUUAUCAAAAUUAAAAGGCAUAUGCAAAAAAACUCAAUAACAUUUAAAAAUAUAUGCAUACACACUGCAUAUAUGUAUUCAUGUUAAUAUUUAUACAUAUAUCAAGGUGAUUGAGGCAGAGGGAAGUAGAGGAUAUAGAUAAAAGAAACUGAGUGAAUGAAUAAAUGAAAAAUAAAUCUAGAGAAAGCUCUUGUUUGAACUAAUUAUAAUAUCCUAGAGCCUGGACACAUAAAAAUAGAAAGAGAGAAGAGAAGAGAGAGAAAGACUGACGCAGAAAGAGAGAAUAGAACAACAUGUUACAGCAAAUUGUUUUCUUUAUACAGAGAGUGCUAGCAUUGGAAUAUGUUAGUAAGAGCAUUGUAAUUGCCCUCAGAGGUUUUAAAAUAUACACUCAUCACACUGCAUUACUGAGUGAAAGCAUCAGGAGCCAAAAAUUGAGAUUUUAGUAACAUUCCUAUUAUUACUCACAAAGCACUUAUGUUUUGCCAGGGAACUGAGAAAACAGUUAAUUUUGUCAGUUUAUGAUGUGCUCCCUAUUUAUUUUCCAGUUGUAUCAAUUGUCCACCACAUGGUAAUUUUUAAGCCUUGUUUUUCUUAGAAUGAAAAUUUCUAAAGAGUUUAAUUUGCUUGAUGUAUAUCUUCAUGUACUCAUUCAACAAAAUUAUAUCUUUAUCUAUUUCUGUCUUCUAUUAUGUGCCAGAAACUACGCUAAGUUCAUCUAUGAAUGUAAAAGACGUCUUAUGAUUAUGGAUUAUGAAGUAUGAAGUACUCCAAAGGGCUGAUUUUAUUUUAAUUUUUAACCAUCAGAGCUUAUCAUGGUUAGCAUUAAAUUUAGUCCUAACGUCUAGAACAAUCAAACCUAUGCUAGCACAUGCAGACUGUUUUAAUUAUACAAUCUCAGCCAAUCAUUUCUGGAAAUAAAAUCAGAGAAAGAUUAAAUUGACUGAAACCCUGAAAGCGAUGACCCUAUGUGCAAGAAAGUUGAUUCCUAUUAAUUAUUCCUCAAGAUGUUUGUCAGCAUUUUGCUUCCAUUUGUGUUCAUCUGUGCAUAUGCUUCUCACCAAAAUGAGUAGCAUAGGAAAAUUUUUUUUUAAAAUGAUAUGUGGUCGAAAAAAUCCCCAACAUUCCUUUCCUUUGUUGUUGUUGACCGACUAAAUCUGGUUCUAAUACAGAGUGGAAUUUCUAAACAUGACCUGGGUCAAGAUGGAAAGCAAAAGUCAACAUAUUUCCCAAGGUAUUAAAACUAUCAGAAUGAAGUUCUAAUAUUUCCUUAAACACACACAAUGCAAAAUGAAUCAAGAUAUGAUGUCAUGCUUUAUUGAAAUAUUUAUUUUCAUUACAAUUCGCACAGUUCUUCAAGGUCAAAAUGACAGUGGUCUUGCUAGAAAAUAUGGGAUUUGAGUUGCAUAAAUCAUUCUCUACUGUUUAGAAAACAGACCAUGAAUUUUUAUGAAUUUGGGACACGACUCUAGGAACUAGAUGGUAUCAAAAUUCAAAGAUAAGUGACAGUAUUUCUUUUUUAAAGGCUUCAUUGGAAAAGUUUAACUUUUGUGGUUAUGUUGGAAAAAAAAAUGCAGAGACCAGUACAGCCUAUCCUUUUUUCUUUUAGAAGUUAUGGAGGCCUUUUUUCAGCCUGACAUCCCCCUACUCUGCCAUUCUACUAAAUUUCCUCUCACAUCUUCUAUACAGCCCCCUCCCACAUACACAGGACAGAAGUGGAACAAGUGGAGAAGAAAAUGAUGAGAGUAAUGCCGAGGGAAGACAGCAGUGUGUUUAACAUCACAAGAUCAGAGGGAGCCCAGAAGCAGAACCUAGAAAAAUCCUUUCACAGCAUGCAAUAUAGAACAAAAAUCCCCAGAAAACUCAAAUACUACUAUUAUCAUGUUUCAAAACAAGAAAGCUAAGAAAGGUGACAAAAGGACCCAAGAAAGGAUGGCUCAUACUUUCAGCCACCUGUGUGUCAGGUGGAAAGUUUUCAUCAAAACCCUUUAAUUCUUCCUUUUGAUGUAUAAGCCCAAUCAAGACAAUAAUCUGUCCUUGAACUAAAAUGAAUCUUCUAUGAUAGACUAUCACUCUCACUGAUAAACAAAGCUUUUAAAGACACAAACUUGCUCUGUAGGUGGCCUUCACUCACUUCAAGAAAGCUUUUGAUUAAAAUAAAAAUGUACAGAGGAACAAAGUCAAAUAAAGGCAUACCAAAAGUUUUACUCAUUUGGGAGAAAUAAACAUGAAAACGAGACCUCUUCAAUAACUCUCUAAAAGUAGAUGAGGUGAUCAAACCAAAUGCUAAGAUAAAAGGAGAAAUAAUAAUUUCCCUUCAACCACCUCAAGAAUUUUCCUUGAGGACAGUAACCAUCAAAGGUCGAACUACCUCUAAGUAGUUCUUUUCUAUACCACUGUCCAGCUUGUUCAAGAACAAAUAUGACCAUCUGCUCAAUGGGCUUGGCUAAGAAAGCUGAAAAGCAAACUAAAGUUAAAGGAAGCUGUGACUUUUGACCUAAUGGAGAUCAAUCCAGCCUCCUCAGAUGAAGAGAGGGAUACUGAUGCAAACAAGUCAAUGAAACCAAAAGCAAGUGAGAAAUGCAAGAACAACGGGAACAAAGGGAAGAAACUGAGGCUGUUUUCAGCAUUAAGGGAAGAAAUUCAAAUGGUAGAUAGAUAUUUGUUCUGGCUCAUAAUUAUAGAAAGCUGUAAUAGAAAUGAAUAUCUUACUGCUUGGUAAAAAUGGAAAUAUAGAAGCACAAGCUACUGGAUAACACAAGAAAAAGCAAUUAUCAUCAUUGUAAAUUUAAUCAUCUAUGAUAUUCUGUUGGGACAGGUUGAGUAUAACAAAACUUUCUGAAGAUGAUGUUCAUAAAGCAAGUUCAUAGGCAUGAUCACUGGAAGCCUUAACAAUUUUUCAAAUUUUUGGGCCAGUAAAAGAAAUUCAAAUCGAGGAUACUAUUAGUAAACUCAGUAUUUAAUUUCUCAAAGAGUUCUAGAAUACUUAAAGAUGUCAGAGAGCAGUGCCAAGUCAUUCAUUUCAAGUUCUUUGAAAGCACAUUGUUUUAAACGUGAACCAUUUGGGAAAGAGAGAGGCUGAAUUUGGUUAGUUACCGUUUUUCUAGGUGAAAUAAAAGAAAUGCAAACUGUAUAUCAGCCAUUAUUUUUAAGCUACUACUGACAGAUUUGAUGGUUUGUGGAGCAAAAAUGUCAUGAUCUCACUUGACUGCAGAGAAGACCCAAAAUAGAAUGCUUUUUUUCAUUUUUAACUUAUCUUUCAAAAAUUUAAUUGAUAAAAAUUAUGGAAAUACUAAAAUGUUAAACAUGUAAAUAAGAUAAAACUUUAAAAACAAUUCAGAAUAUUCUCUUCUCAUCUUGUACUUUAAAAAAACUAACUAUAACAAGAACACAAUGAUCUACUCAAAUUCUUUUACAAUUUAGAUUAUUGGGCCAAUUCUUCAAACCAUAUGCAACCAGCUAGUAACAGUUCUUGACUUGGCUUAGUAGUAGGGGAUUGGUAAGACAAGAAAAAUUAAAAACAAUAUUCAUUACUCAAACCUAUCUAAACAAAUGCUUUUCAUAUUUCUUUUAUCAAGUACAUUUAUUCUUUAAACCAGAAUUGCUAAUACUCAAAGACAUUUAUAAAUUUAUUAACAACUGGGACUCUGUUUUUGAAAGUUAUAUUCCACUGUUGACAGAAUGCUAAGUGCCUGAAGAAAGCGUCAAGAACAUCUAUUAGUGUCCAUAAGGAAACCAUGUAUUGAUGUAUUUAAGUGAUCUUGCUGUUUAGUCACAUAAUUUUAAAGAUUCAGGAUAAAUGAGGUUUGGUUUUGCAUAGUAGAGAAUACAAAUACAAAUGAAUCAUCAGUUAAAAAUGAUUUUUUAAAUAUCCAACUUUUAAACAUUGUUAGCAUUUUUUUCCAGGCAUAAGAAGUAAAGGUUUGGGAAAUAUAGAUUACAAGAAAAAGAGGAAAAAUCAUUAAAAGUAUCCUAAUCUCACCAAUUAGAAACAAACACUGUUAGGUGUUAGUAUAUUUUCCUGACGGAGAAAAUGUAUGAGUAAGACGUAGAGAAAGAGAGAGUGAGAGAGAGAAUAUUUUAUAAAAUUGAAGACAACUGUUAAAAUCAACAAAGCAAUGUAUUUUUAUAUAAAGGAUAGUGAUACUUCUGUAUUUGUUGUAACAAUUUUCCCACUUAGCCAUUUUGCCCAAUACUUAUGUUUUUGUGUUUUUGAGUCUUAAUCAUUAAUUGCUUUGUGUAUUUCAUCAAUUUUUCUUUUUCUUAAUGAUUUCUCCAUUGUUUUUAAACCUAAGUCAUGAGAAAUUUACAUAAAUUAUGUGACUUGAUCAGAGCCAUCCUUCCUCUAAACAUUUACCUUCAGGAUCCCUCUACUCUUUUAAAAAUUACUGACAACUCCAAAGAAUGUGUAUUUAUGUUGGUUAUAUCUGUCAAUAGUUUCUGUGUUAGAAAUUAAAGUCAAGAAUUUUUUUUAAAAUCUCUAUUAAUUCACCCAAAAAUGGCAAUCAUAAGCCCUCCAUAGAAGUUCCUGUCAUGACUCAGCAGUGACCAACAUGGCUAGUAUCCAUGAGGAUGCAGGCUUGAUCCCUGGUUUUGCUCAGUGGGUUAAGAAUCCAGCAUUGGGGUGAGCUGUGGUGUAGGUCCAGAUGCAGCUCAGAUCUGACAUUUGUGUGGCUGUGGUGUAGGCCAGCAGCUGGAGCUCUGAUUCAGCCCAUAGCCAGGGAACUUCCAUAA
This 4798-nucleotide long non-coding RNA is filed under the name Sus scrofa (pig). RNAcentral's name for it is "lncRNA (ENSSSCG00000053776.1)". The record is from RNAcentral. Lineage: Eukaryota; Metazoa; Chordata; Mammalia; Artiodactyla; Suidae.